GCACUCAAGCCAAUCAGGAGACAAAGCAUCAUGAAGCUUUUAGUAUUCGCGACGUAUGCUGCAAUUAUUGCAAGUACAGUGGCAAUACUAGAAAUUCCAGACGGUUAUCCAGAAGAUCCUGAAUGCCCUAUACGAUCCAGCAAUAGUGGAUGCAUGGUUUAUGGACAAAAGAUUCCACCGGGUGGAAGCAAGUCCUUUCAAAGUCCCUGCAUUAAUGUUGAAUGCAGCACAAACGGGAGGAGAGUUGUAAUUGAAGGGUGCUCGGAAAGCGAGAGAAUUUGCACAGUAAGCCCAUACGGAACACCACGAGCUUCACUACCGUGGCCUUUUUGUUGUGCACAAUGCCGCACACAAGAUAAACCCGUGC
This is a long non-coding RNA of Dermacentor silvarum, 367 nucleotides long. RefSeq lists it as uncharacterized. NCBI's taxonomy places the organism in Eukaryota, Metazoa, Arthropoda, Arachnida, Ixodida, Ixodidae. The record is from RefSeq and is a predicted model, not a curated record. The transcript is spliced from 3 exons.